This 198-nucleotide ribosomal RNA is filed under the name uncultured bacterium. RNAcentral's name for it is "partial 16S ribosomal RNA". It matches the Rfam family "Bacterial small subunit ribosomal RNA", at positions 328 to 539 of the family's 1533-position model. The record is from RNAcentral.
ACGCUCGACACCUACGAGAGGCAGCAGUGGGGGAUAUUGCACAAUGGGGGAAACCCUGAUGCAGCAACGCCGCGUGUGGGAAGAAGGUUUUCGGAUUGUAAACCACUGUUCUCAGGGACGAUAAUGACGGUACCUGAGGAGAAAGCUCCGGCUAACUACGUGCCAGCAGCCGCGGUAAUCUGAGCGGGCUGGCAAGGC